UAGUCCGAGUUGUAGUUUAAAGAAGCGUUUUCGGUGGCAGUCUCGGUAUAAAUCCUUUGGAAUAGGGUAUCAUAGAGGGUGAGAAUCCCGUCUUUGACUGAGAAUAUGCUACUAUGUGAUACGUUUUCAAAGAGUCGAGUUGUUUGGGAAUGCAGCUCAAAAUGGGUGGUAAAUUUCAUCUAAAGCUAAAUAUUGGCGAGAGACCGAUAGCGAACAAGUACCGUGAGGGAAAGAUGAAAAGAACUUUGAAAAGAGAGUUAAACAGUGCGUGAAAUUGUUGAAAGGGAAACGCUUGAAACCAGUCAUGCGGUUGGGAAAUCAGUCUCUGACGGGGGGGAAUGGGGGAGUUGUGGACCGCAAGGCCGCUCUUUUUCAUAUUCUUCUCGGCAGGGAUGCACUUUUUCUUCUGCAGGUCAACAUCAGUUUGCUUUGCCGGACAAAACUCUUGGGAAGGUGACAGCUUAGGCUGUGUUAUAGCCCUCGAGCGAUACGGUGGAGCGGACUGAGGUUUUCGCAGCAUGUGCUCUCGGGCAAGGCUGAUUGGGUGCUAUGAGAUCGUUCAGGGUACAAUACAUGUAUUUUGCCUUGUGUCUUUUUUAUACUCGCUCAACUCGGCUCUUCCAUGCUUAGGAUGUUGACAUAAUGGUUUUAAUCGACCCGUCUUGAAACACGGACCAAGGAGUCUAACAUAUAUGCAAGUGUUUGGGUGGCAAACCCAUGCGCGUAAUGAAAGUGAACGUAGGUGCGAUCCGCAAGGUGCAGCAUCGACCGAUCUUGAUAUUUUUGGAUAGAUUUGAGUAAGAGCAUAUAUGCUGGGACCCGAAA
RNAcentral lists this ribosomal RNA (825 nucleotides) under uncultured fungus. Its description in RNAcentral is "eukaryotic LSU rRNA". It matches the Rfam family "Eukaryotic large subunit ribosomal RNA", at positions 134 to 821 of the family's 3401-position model. The record is from RNAcentral. Lineage: Eukaryota; Fungi.